UACGUAGGGUGCAAGCGUUAAUCGGAAUUACUGGGCGUUAAGAGCUCGUAGGCGGUUUGUCGCGUCUGCCGUGAAGUCCGGGGCUCAACUCCGGAUCUGCGGUGGGUACGGGCAGACUAGAGUGAUGGUAGGGGAGACUGGAAUUCCUGGUGUAGCGGUGAAAUGCGCAGAGUAUCAGGAGGAACACCGAUGGCGAAGGCAGGCUCUGGGCAGUUAACUGCGCUGAGGAGCGAAAGCAUGGGGAGCGAACGG
This 252-nucleotide ribosomal RNA is filed under the name uncultured bacterium. Its description in RNAcentral is "partial 16S ribosomal RNA". It matches the Rfam family "Bacterial small subunit ribosomal RNA", at positions 524 to 775 of the family's 1533-position model. The record is from RNAcentral.